CUGCGUUUACUGUCGGUAUCGCGGCCAGAGCGGCAGCCCGAGUCAGCCGCGUUGAGCAGCCCGGGCCCAGGGCUGUGCUGCUGGGUGUCUGUGUUCUCCUGCUUCAGCCUCGCCUGCUCCUACGUGGGCAGCCUCUACGUGUGGAAGAGCGAGCUGCCCAGGGACCACCCCGCUGUUAUCAAGCGGCGUUUCACCAGUGUCCUGGUAGUAUCGAGCUUGUCCCCACUUUGCGUGCUGCUCUGGAGGGAACUCACUGGCAUCCAGGCACAUCACUGCUUACCUUGAUGGGCUUCAGGCUGGAGGGCAUUUUUCCAGCAGCUCUGCUGCCCCUGCUGCUAACUAUGAUCCUUUUCCUGGGUCCACUGAUGCAGCUCUGUAUGGAUUGCCCGUGUGACCUGACAGAUGGGCUGAAGGUUGUCCUGGGUGAGUCUUCAAGACUGAGCAAAAGCCCCUCGUUCUUGGGCCCGCCGCCUCACAGACAUGCGCUGGCUACGAAACCAAGUUAUAGCACCCUUGACAGAGGAGCUGGUGUUCCGGGCUUGUAUGCUGCCCAUGCUAGCACCAUGCACAGGUCUGGGCCCUGCUGUGUUCACCUGCCCACUGUUUUUUGGAGUCGCCCAUUUUCACCACAUUAUUGAGCAGCUGCGCUUCCGCCAAAGCAGUGUGGGAAGUAUCUUCUUGUCUGCAGGACACCUGAUAGGGCCGGUUCUCUGCCACUCCUUC
Molecule: long non-coding RNA, 723 nt
Filed under: Rattus norvegicus (Norway rat)
Lineage: Eukaryota; Metazoa; Chordata; Mammalia; Rodentia; Muridae
Description: long non-coding RNA NONRATT003435
Source: RNAcentral